UUUUUCUUCACUUUAGGAUAAAUUCUCAUGAACACUCAUCAUGAAGUCAUCAUGGAGGCUCAUUAAAUUUUGAGGACUGGACUUCACAUAUUUGAUUCAAGAUGAAUCGAGGUUGGAUGUAUGGUACAAAGGCUGGAAAUUUGGAUUUUGUCAAUGGUGUGGACUCGUUUGUGCAGACUGCCAAGGCACACAAGAAUCUACAAGAUGAUGGCUACGUGUAUUGCCCAUGCAUUGAUUGCAAAAAUCAGAAGCAGUUUGGCAAUGUUGAGCAGAUCCGCUUUCAUCUGUUAUUUAGAGGUUUUAUGCCCAACUACCAAGUUUGGAACAAGCACGGUGAGGUUGGUGAGACAA
Molecule: long non-coding RNA, 351 nt
Organism: Panicum virgatum (switchgrass)
Lineage: Eukaryota; Viridiplantae; Streptophyta; Magnoliopsida; Poales; Poaceae
Exons: 2
Source: RefSeq, a predicted model, not a curated record